Molecule: ribosomal RNA, 500 nt
Filed under: uncultured bacterium
Lineage: Bacteria
Description: partial 16S ribosomal RNA
Rfam family: Bacterial small subunit ribosomal RNA
Source: RNAcentral
AUUGAACGCUGGCGGCAUGCCUUACACAUGCAAGUCGAACGGCAGCACGGACUUCGGUCUGGUGGCGAGUGGCGAACGGGUGAGUAAUGUAUCGGAACGUACCCUUCAGUGGGGGAUAACUAUCCGAAAGGAUAGCUAAUACCGCAUAUUCUCUGAGGAGGAAAGCGGGGGAUCGCAAGACCUCGCGCUGAUGGAGCGGCCGAUAUCAGAUUAGCUAGUUGGUGGGGUAAAGGCCUACCCAGGCGACGAUCUGUAGCGGGUCUGAGAGGAUGAUCCGCCACACUGGGACUGAGACACGGCCCAGACUCCUACGGGAGGCAGCAGGGGGGAAUUUUGGACAAUGGGGGCAACCCUGAUCCAGCCAUGCCGCGUGAGUGAGGAAGGCCUUCGGGUUGUAAAGCUCUUUCGGCCGGGAAGAAAUCGCGUGAGUUAAUACCUUGCGUGGAUGACGGUACCGGAAUAAGAAGCACCGGCUAACUACGUGCCAGCCGCCGCCGUAA